This 253-nucleotide ribosomal RNA is filed under the name uncultured bacterium. RNAcentral describes it as "partial 16S ribosomal RNA". It matches the Rfam family "Bacterial small subunit ribosomal RNA", at positions 524 to 776 of the family's 1533-position model. The record is from RNAcentral.
UACGUAGGGUGCACGCGUUGUCCGGAAUUAUUGGGCGUAAAGAGCUCGUAGGCGGUCUGUCGCGUCGGAUGUGAAAACUCGGGGCUCAACCCCGAGCCUGCAUUCGAUACGGGCAGACUAGAGUUCGGUAGGGGAGACUGGAAUUCCUGGUGUAGCGGUGAAAUGCGCAGAUAUCAGGAGGAACACCGGUGGCGAAGGCGGGUCUCUGGGCCGAUACUGACGCUGAGGAGCGAAAGCGUGGGGAGCGAACAGG